GAGGGGAGUGAAAUAGAACCUGAAACCCUGCACUUACAAGCUGUGGAAGCACAUUUCUUGUGUGACCGCGUACUUUUUGUAGAACGGGCCAACGAGUUACGUUAAGUAGCAAGGUUAAGCACUUAAGGUGCGGAGCCGUAGCGAAAGCGAGUUUUAACUGAGCGUUCAGUUACUUGACGUAGACCCGAAACCGGGCGACCUACCCAUGAGCAGGAUGAAGCGAAAGUAAAAUUUCGUGGAGGUCCGAACCCACGAGCGUUGAAAAGCUCGGGGAUGACUUGUGGGUAGCGGUGAAAUUCCAAUCGAGCCCGGAGAUAGCUGGUUCUCCCCGAAAUAGCUUUAGGGCUAGCCUCAAGGUGAGAGAUACGGAGGUAGAGCACUGAAUGUCCUAGGGGGUAUUGCACCUACCGAAGACUAUCAAACUCCGAAUGCCGUCAUCUUAUACUUGGGAGUCAGACUGUGGGUGAUAAGAUUCAUAGUCGAAAGGGCAACAGCCCAGAUCGUCAGCUAAGGUCCCUAAAUGUAAGUUAAGUGGUAAAGGAUGUGGGAUUGCACAGACAACCAGGAUGUUGGCUUAGAAGCAGCCACUCAUUCAAAGAGUGCGUAAUAGCUCACUGGUCGAGUGAUCCUGCGCCGAAGAUUUCCGGGGCUAAAACUUACUACCGAAGCUACGGCAUCAGUAAUGAUGGGUAGGGGAGCUUCCCAUACGGGUUGAAGCAUGACCGUAAGGACAUGUGGACAGUAUGGGAGUGAGAAUGUUGGCAUGAGUAGCGAGAUGUGGGUGAGAAUCCCACAGGCCGUAAACCCAAGGUUUCCAGGGGAAGGUUCGUCCGCCCUGGGUUAGUCGGGACCUAAGCUGAGGCCGAAAGGCGUAGG
Molecule: ribosomal RNA, 876 nt
Filed under: Clostridioides difficile
Lineage: Bacteria; Bacillati; Bacillota; Clostridia; Peptostreptococcales; Peptostreptococcaceae
Description: partial 23S ribosomal RNA
Rfam family: Bacterial large subunit ribosomal RNA
Source: RNAcentral